Long non-coding RNA from Hirundo rustica (Barn swallow), 2531 nucleotides. RefSeq lists it as uncharacterized. Lineage: Eukaryota; Metazoa; Chordata; Aves; Passeriformes; Hirundinidae. The transcript has 3 exons. The record is from RefSeq and is a predicted model, not a curated record.
GAUAACAAUCAAAUGAAUCAGCAGUUGUUAUCGAUAAUCCUCAUCCCUGGGUUGCUAAAGUGCAGCUGAUUUACAGAUUUGGGCUUGAUGAAGAUCGUACAGAUAGUGCUUGCACCUAUAAGAGACCAUUUCAAUGUGCCAGCCCUCUGGAUCCUCACAAAAAAUGUAUUCAGGAAGACAGGCAAGCCAGCUAGCCAGGUUAAAGCCCUCUGGAUGCUCCCAACAGCCCUGAACUGCAGUUCAGAUUGCCCUGUGUAGCUGUUUCCCGGUGAAAACGCAGACAUUUACCACUGAACUGCUUUUUGACUGCUGGUGCUCAUUUCUCUCACUCUCUGAUUCUGCAGACACCCUGUUUCUCUCAGGUGUUAAACAGUGACAUUAAUAUACCGACAGAUACACCCAGCCAUGUUGCAAUUUACUGGAGCUGAUGGGGAAAUCUUCUCAGAGCUACACUUGCAAAAUGGAGCUGGUUUAUAACUUUCGUGAUUGCUAUUCUUGAAAACUUCACCUCUCUGAGAGUGCUGAUAGACAAUUUUCCCUUCCAUUCAUUCCUCUGCUUAUCGUAAUAGAUACUUUAAGCACAGACCAGUGAACUGUAAAUCUGGACAGAUUCCUCAGCAUUUCAUACAGUAGGAGAGAAGCACCAGAAAAUUCACAUUUGUUAUAAAGCUAAAAUAAAUUAUCGCACAGAUAUCUUGCUAAGAUGGAUUUCAAGUUCCAGAUCUUCAAUAUCAGAGCCAAAAAAAAUUAAGGCCAAGUUUUUUAUCUGCCUGCUGCUACACUUUCUGUAAUGGAUUUUAAAUGGAGUGAUCACUGGAUGGCUGAAUGGACUUGAGAAAGUCUCAUUUAAAUUAAUGCCUGUAAAUGCAGAGUGAUGUAUAGUGGGUUGUGUAUCCUGGAUUCAGAUGGCAGAGGGCAGAAGCACCGUGUGUUGUACAAACAGAACAUUUGUGUAGGUAUAAGGCACAUCAGACUAAUGGUGUGUCUAAAAAUGUGUUCAGGAUUUAGCCAAAAACCAAACCAGCCAUUCCCCAGGCAUGUUGCUUCUUGGAUCUUUAAUGGAAAACUUUAUUGUGGCUUUGACUUUGCUGCAGUUUCAAACCACAGAGCAAGAUACACUUAAGAUAGGGCAAUGGCGAGUGGUCUGCUUUUUUUAUAUUAACUUUUUUAUACUAACCACUCUUGCAAUUUCAUGGUAUGGCAGCAAUGGCUUUAUUGUGAAAGUGAAUGUAGGUAAUUUCAUAUUUGUGAAAACUAUGUAGUACUGCCUAAAUGUUUAGGAUAUGCUGUGGUAACAUCUGAUUUUGUGUCGUCGCAGAAAUUCAGCUUUUAUAUGUGCUGCUCCCCUUACACAAUUUCUUUGGCAGUGGCAUCACUGCUAACAAACAAGGCCUGUAGAUGAUAAUUUUCCUGAACUUUCUGUGUAAUCAGUUCUGGAGGAUUUCAGUUCAUCAGGUUCUCAUUUGAACUGCCAGGUACUUUUAUACUCUGGAGUCUUGCAGAGAUGAGCAUAGAUAUGAAUCCAGAACUGCAGCAGUUCAGCUCUGUUGGGCUUUUUUUUUAGCUAUUCAGUUGACAAGAAGAAUCAUCUUUGUCAUUUUAGUAUUUCCUUAUGAGACAAUAAUUUUUUUCUUGUUGGGGCUCAUUAGCAAAAACCUUCACUGGUCUGAACUGAAGAUAGUAGCAUCUGAGGGCUUUUCAAAUUGCUGAGACAAGUAGAGCUGGUAACCCCUGAACCUGAAAAAAGACAUUGGAAUUCCUGGACCCAACCACCUAGAUGACCUUUCAGUCAAGGCAGAGAAAACUCUUUGAAUAGUUUGGGGAGAGGAAGGGAAAGUUCAUAUUUCACAGCAUUGUCAUGAAUAGAAGAGGUUCCAAAGCAGUAGUGUGAUUUCCUGCCUCUGAGUCCUUUUUUUUUUACAGACAACAUAAUCCUCUGGAGCAGCUUCUAACCACUUUAAAACUCCUGAUCUAAUUUCCCCGCUGCCUUCUGCUUUGUCCCUUCAUGCCAGUAGAAGUAGUUGUGAGACAUUUUAGAAGAGCUCACAUGGUCACACUUUGUGCCCAGUCUGCCUCUGGUGGAGUUUAAUGGAGAGGCAAGAGGGUACAAACCAUCAGACUCAAAUAUUGACCUGACAGAAGGAUCCCAGAGGGGCAGCUGCAUCAGAGAGCGAGAUGAGGGCCUCUUUGCACAGCAGAGCUCAGGGCAGCACAGGCCACGUGAAGCCACUCCUGAGGCAUCCAGCUGUGAGACAAGAGCGGGAUGUAAAUUGGGGGAGCUGCUCCGAGUCAUGCUGCGAUAGCUGGUUGCAGACUGCCUAGCUCAGGGGAUUUGGGGGCUACAGGGUGCAUGCAAAUCCUCUGUAAGAAUCAGCAGUGAAGAGCUCGGGCCAAAAAGCUUCAGGGCUGCUGUACCGUCUCUGCCUCUGUCCUCAUUCAACUCCCACAAGAGUGCUUAAGCAGCAAAGCUUAAGCUUAAUCGAGUUAUGUGAGCCAAUAAACUUCACUGCAUUUCUUAUUGCCCUACCACA